RNAcentral lists this transfer RNA (74 nucleotides) under Echinostoma caproni. It matches the Rfam family "tRNA", at positions 6 to 65 of the family's 71-position model. From Rfam's summary of the family: Transfer RNA (tRNA) molecules are approximately 80 nucleotides in length. Their secondary structure includes four short double-helical elements and three loops (D, anti-codon, and T loops). The record is from Rfam by way of RNAcentral. Lineage: Eukaryota; Metazoa; Platyhelminthes; Trematoda; Plagiorchiida; Echinostomatidae.
UGUGGCUCAGCUGGUAGAGCAUGCGCUGUAGAAAAUGUGUAGGCAGCGUACAUACGUGGGUUCGAAUCCCACCA